RNAcentral lists this ribosomal RNA (253 nucleotides) under uncultured bacterium. Its description in RNAcentral is "partial 16S ribosomal RNA". It matches the Rfam family "Bacterial small subunit ribosomal RNA", at positions 524 to 776 of the family's 1533-position model. The record is from RNAcentral.
GACGUAGGAGGCGAGCGUUGUCCGGAUUCAUUGGGCGUAAGGAGCACGCAGGCGGUUUGGCAAGUCGGAUGUGAAAGCCCGGAGCUCAACUCCGGACCUGCAUCCGAAACUGCCCGACUAGAGGUAGGUAGGGGAGAUCGGAAUUCCCGGUGUAGUGGUGAAAUGCGUAGAGAUCGGGAGGAACACCAGUGGCGAAGGCGGCUCGCUGGGCCGGUCCUGACGCUGAGACGCGAAGGCGUGGGGAGCGAACGGG